This 253-nucleotide ribosomal RNA is filed under the name uncultured bacterium. RNAcentral describes it as "partial 16S ribosomal RNA". It matches the Rfam family "Bacterial small subunit ribosomal RNA", at positions 524 to 776 of the family's 1533-position model. The record is from RNAcentral.
UACGAAGGGGACUAGCGUUGUUCGGAAUUACUGGGCGUAAAGGGCGCGUAGGCGGCCUUCUAAGUCGAACGUGAAAUCCCCGGGCUCAACCCGGGAACUGCGUCCGAUACUGGAAGGCUUGAAUCCGGGAGAGGGAUGCGGAAUUCCAGGUGUAGCGGUGAAAUGCGUAGAUACCUGGAGGAACACCGGUGGCGAAGGCGGCAUUCUGGACCGAUAUUGACGCUGAGGAGCGAAAGCCAGGGGAGCAAACGGG